RNAcentral lists this small nuclear RNA (20 nucleotides) under Arabidopsis thaliana (thale cress). Its description in RNAcentral is "snRNA_04657". Lineage: Eukaryota; Viridiplantae; Streptophyta; Magnoliopsida; Brassicales; Brassicaceae. The record is from RNAcentral.
CAAGGAUUCCCUUAGUAACG